AAGGUGGUCGUACUGGAAAGUGUGGCUAGAUCAUAUCCUUUCUAAGAGGAAGAUAAAUCAAAACUAAUUUUAUUUACUUUUCUCUAUAUUUUUAUUUUGAUGAAAAAGCUUUUGAAUUCAAAGUAAAUUUUUAGUUUAACCUUUAGAAAAAAUAAAUCUUUAGAAAGUGUUUAGUAUUAUACAGUUUCAUAUUAAAUUAAACGUUGUUAAUAGUAAACAUAAUUUUAGAUUUUGAGUUGAAAGUUUUUUAUAUUGCUAAAUAUGUAUUUUAAAUCUAAUAGAACGGCAAUU
This 291-nucleotide unclassified non-coding RNA is filed under the name Borreliella afzelii. RNAcentral describes it as "partial 16S-23S ribosomal RNA intergenic spacer". The record is from RNAcentral. Lineage: Bacteria; Pseudomonadati; Spirochaetota; Spirochaetia; Spirochaetales; Borreliaceae.